This 111-nucleotide non-coding RNA is filed under the name Firmicutes bacterium CAG:227. RNAcentral's name for it is "TPP riboswitch aptamer (THI element)". It matches the Rfam family "TPP riboswitch aptamer (THI element)". Rfam says of the family: Vitamin B(1) in its active form thiamin pyrophosphate (TPP) is an essential coenzyme that is synthesised by coupling of pyrimidine and thiazole moieties in bacteria. The previously detected thiamin-regulatory element, thi box was extended, resulting in a new, highly conserved RNA secondary structure, the THI element, which is widely distributed in eubacteria and also occurs in some archaea. The record is from Rfam by way of RNAcentral. Lineage: Bacteria; Bacillati; Bacillota. RNAcentral also lists the same sequence under 1 other name.
AACAAAGAAAAGGGGAGCUGACGCGUCGGCUGAGAGGAGAUACGAACGGAUUUCGACCCUAAGAACCUGAUACGGAUAAUGCCGGCGUAGGAAGCAUAUUUUAGUGUGAAC